This 478-nucleotide ribosomal RNA is filed under the name uncultured bacterium. RNAcentral describes it as "bacterial SSU rRNA". It matches the Rfam family "Bacterial small subunit ribosomal RNA", at positions 28 to 505 of the family's 1533-position model. The record is from RNAcentral.
GACGAACGCUGGCGGCGUGCCUAACACAUGCAAGUUGAGCGGGAUGUAUACUUCGAGAGAUUUCGAUUGACGAAGAUGCAGGAGAGCAGCGGACGGGUGAGUAACGCGUGAGCAAUCUGCCCUGUGGAGGGGGAUAGCCUCCGGAAACGGAGAUUAAUACCGCAUAACACUGCACUGUCGCAUGAUAGAGCAGUCAAAACUCAGGUGCCACAGGAUGAGCUCGCGUCUCAUUAGCUAGUUGGUAGGGUAAAAGCCUACCAAGGCGACGAUGAGUAGCCGACCUGAGAGGGUGAUCGGCCACACUGGGACUGAGACACGGCCCAGACUCCUACGGGAGGCAGCAGUGGGGAAUAUUGCGCAAUGGGGGAACCCUGACGCAGCAACGCCGCGUGAAUGAAGAAGGCUUUCGAGUCGUAAAAUUCUGUCCUCAGGGAAGAAGAAGUGACGGUACCUGAGGAGGAAGCCCCGGCUAACUACG